CCUGGUCUGUGAUGACUCCUUUUCUAAUGGUGACAGCUGGAUGAAUCCUGCGGAUAUGGGACUGAGACUAAGC
Small nucleolar RNA from Rhineura floridana, 73 nucleotides. RefSeq annotates it as small nucleolar RNA SNORD99. The record is from RefSeq and is a predicted model, not a curated record. The transcript has a single exon. Lineage: Eukaryota; Metazoa; Chordata; Lepidosauria; Squamata; Rhineuridae.